Molecule: ribosomal RNA, 478 nt
Filed under: uncultured bacterium
Lineage: Bacteria
Description: partial 16S ribosomal RNA
Rfam family: Bacterial small subunit ribosomal RNA
Source: RNAcentral
GACGAACGCUGGCGGCGUGCUUAACACAUGCAAGUCGAACGGUAAGGCCCUUCGGGGUACACGAGUGGCGAACGGGUGAGUAACACGUGGGUGAUCCGCCCUGCACUUCGGGAUAAGCCUGGGAAACUGGGUCUAAUACCGGAUAGGACCACUGCCUGCAUGGGUGGUGGUGGAAAGCUUUUGCGGUGUGGGAUGGGCCCGCGGCCUAUCAGCUUGUUGGUGGGGUGAUGGCCUACCAAGGCGACGACGGGUAGUCGGCCUGAGAGGGUGACCGGCCACACUGGGACUGAGAUACGGCCCAGACUCCUACGGGAGGCAGCAGUGGGGAAUAUUGCACAAUGGGCGCAAGCCUGAUGCAGCGACGCCGCGUGAGGGAUGACGGCCUUCGGGUUGUAAACCUCUUUCAGCACCGACGAAGCGCAAGUGACGGUAGGUGCAGAAGAAGGACCGGCCAACUACGUGCCAGCCGCCGCAGUAA